Molecule: microRNA precursor, 62 nt
Filed under: Ornithorhynchus anatinus (platypus)
Lineage: Eukaryota; Metazoa; Chordata; Mammalia; Monotremata; Ornithorhynchidae
Description: microRNA oan-mir-1b precursor
Gene: oan-mir-1b
Rfam family: mir-1 microRNA precursor family
About the family: This family represents the microRNA (miRNA) mir-1 family. miRNAs are transcribed as ~70nt precursors (modelled here) and subsequently processed by the Dicer enzyme to give a ~22nt product. In this case the mature sequence comes from the 3' arm of the precursor. The extents of the hairpin precursors are not generally known and are estimated based on hairpin prediction.
Source: miRBase by way of RNAcentral
ACACACUUCUUCAUAUGCCCAUAGGGAGCUGCCCGAACUAUGGAAUGUUAAGAAGUGUGUGU